GGGGAUGUGGCUCAAGUGGUAGCGCGCUCGCCUGGCAUGCGUGUGGCCCGGGGUUCGAUCCUCAGCAGCACCA
This 73-nucleotide transfer RNA is filed under the name Ictidomys tridecemlineatus (thirteen-lined ground squirrel). RNAcentral describes it as "Spermophilus tridecemlineatus (thirteen-lined ground squirrel) tRNA". It matches the Rfam family "tRNA". Rfam says of the family: Transfer RNA (tRNA) molecules are approximately 80 nucleotides in length. Their secondary structure includes four short double-helical elements and three loops (D, anti-codon, and T loops). Further hydrogen bonds mediate the characteristic L-shaped molecular structure. tRNAs have two regions of fundamental functional importance: the anti-codon, which is responsible for specific mRNA codon recognition, and the 3' end, to which the tRNAs corresponding amino acid is attached (by aminoacyl-tRNA synthetases). tRNAs cope with the degeneracy of the genetic code in two manners: having more than one tRNA (with a specific anti-codon) for a particular amino acid; and 'wobble' base-pairing, i.e. permitting non-standard base-pairing at the 3rd anti-codon position. Lineage: Eukaryota; Metazoa; Chordata; Mammalia; Rodentia; Sciuridae. The record is from Rfam by way of RNAcentral.